GGGGGGGGGGGGGGGGGGGGGGAGGAGGGGCAGGUCGGGCGGGCGGGCGAGGGGCUGGCGGCUCGGGGGGGAGCGGCGGACGGGGGAGGAACACGGGGGUAACCUACCUAUAAGACUGGGAUAACUUCGGGACACCGGAGCUAAUACCGGAUAAUAUUUUGAACCGCAUGGUUCAAAAGUGAAAGACGGUCUUGCUGUCACUUAUAGAUGGAUCCGCGCUGCAUUAGCUAGUUGGUAAGGUAACGGCUUACCAAGGCCACGAUGCAUAGCCGACCUGAGAGGGUGAUCGGCCACACUGGAACUGAGACACGGUCCAGACUCCUACGGGGGGCAGCAGUAGGGAAUCUUCCGCAAUGGGCGAAAGCCUGACGGAGCAACGCCGCGUGAGUGAUGAAGGUCUUCGGAUCGUAAAACUCUGUUAUUAGGGAAGAACAUAUGUGUAAGUAACUGUGCACAUCUUGACGGUACCUAAUCAGAAAGCCACGGCUAACUACGUG
RNAcentral lists this ribosomal RNA (497 nucleotides) under uncultured bacterium. RNAcentral describes it as "partial 16S ribosomal RNA". It matches the Rfam family "Bacterial small subunit ribosomal RNA", at positions 36 to 507 of the family's 1533-position model. The record is from RNAcentral.